AUUGAACGCUGGCGGCAUGCCUUACACAUGCAAGUCGAACGGUAACAGGUCUUCGGAUGCUGACGAGUGGCGCACGGGUGAGUAAUACAUCGGAACGUGCCCGAUCGUGGGGGAUAACGAAGCGAAAGCUUUGCUAAUACCGCAUAAGAUCUACGGAUGAAAGCAGGGGACCGCAAGGCUUUGCGCGAACGGAGCGGCCGAUGGCAGAUUAGGUAGUUGGUGGGAUAAAAGCUUACCAAGCCGACGAUCUGUAGCUGGUCUGAGAGGACGACCAGCCACACUGGGACUGAGACACGGCCCAGACUCCUACGGGAGGCAGCAGUGGGGAAUUUUGGACAAUGGGCGAAAGCCUGAUCCAGCCAUGCCGCGUGCAGGAUGAAGGCCUUCGGGUUGUAAACUGCUUUUGUACGGAACGAAAAGACUCUGGUUAAUACCUGGGGUCCAUGACGGUACCGUAAGAAUAAGCACCGGCUAACUACGUG
RNAcentral lists this ribosomal RNA (482 nucleotides) under uncultured bacterium. RNAcentral describes it as "partial 16S ribosomal RNA". It matches the Rfam family "Bacterial small subunit ribosomal RNA", at positions 30 to 507 of the family's 1533-position model. The record is from RNAcentral.